RNAcentral lists this small nuclear RNA (325 nucleotides) under Sorex araneus (European shrew). RNAcentral's name for it is "7SK RNA (ENSSARG00000018069.1)". It matches the Rfam family "7SK RNA". From Rfam's summary of the family: 7SK was discovered as an abundant small nuclear RNA in the mid-70s but a possible function has only recently been suggested. Lineage: Eukaryota; Metazoa; Chordata; Mammalia; Eulipotyphla; Soricidae. The record is from RNAcentral.
GUAUGUGAGGGCGAUCUGGCUGUGACAUCUGUCACCCCAUUGAUCGCCAGGGUUGAUUCGACUGAUCUGGCCUGCUAGGCACGUGUCUACUCCCUCCCUCACUGCUCCAUGUGCAUCGUGCAUCCUUCCUGAAGCAGCAUGCUCGGUUGAGGAGGGCGGCCUUCCCCCAAUAGAGAUAGACUGGUCUUUGGUCAAGGAGAUAAUGUAGCUCUGCUCCCCUGCUAGAAUCUCCAAACAAGCUCCCCAAACCAUUUGAUGUAUUGAUUAUUACUGAAUAAGUUUUGUCUGUCUAUAUAUAUAUGUAUAUGUAUGCAUGUAUAUUUAU